Molecule: long non-coding RNA, 650 nt
Organism: Hippopotamus amphibius kiboko
Lineage: Eukaryota; Metazoa; Chordata; Mammalia; Artiodactyla; Hippopotamidae
Exons: 3
Source: RefSeq, a predicted model, not a curated record
AUGCGGCCUUUUACAUCCUGGGAGCGUCGAGUGCAGGUGGAGGUACGCGGUCGUGUUUUGUGCGCUGAGGUACUUGGGACAGAACUUCCCGGCCUAAUUUAAAAUGCAGGAGAUGCAGCCGUCUUGUAGUAGUAGAUCGACGUCAGCUGUGAAAACGUCUGGGUUCAAACGCCUGAGUGGACUUAAAUGUUCACUAGUUGGCGGGGCAGCCACGUGCAGCCGGGGGCGCCGAGGCGGAAUCCUAGUGCGUGUGGACCGUGGGCCCUCGGGCAAAAGUUAAAUGCAGCAGAUGAUGCCGGUGAAGAAGGUCGUUAGUUCCGCUGCGGGUGUCCUGUGGCCAUCUUGAAUCCGCUCCGGCGCUGUUAAAUAGUAACACCGCAUCCCGGUAACCCGCUGGUUGGAUCCAGGCGGAAGCUGAGCUUAAUUGUUCCCAUGGAUGAUGGAAAACAUAAGAAGAUGUCAAAUCCAAAGCGGUAUGGGUGAAGUCUUAAUCAGCGUCCUGCGGUACACUGCCAAACGUGGUUUUAAAUCUGGUACUUAAUUUAAUAAUAGUAUUUAAAUGGAGACUAAAUAAGUGCUUCCUUGCUAUAUAAAUAAAAUGCUUGAUUUGUACAGAUAAUCAAUGUUCUCUGACUGAAUGAUUAAUAAGU